GAUGAACGCUGGCGGCGUGCCUAAUACAUGCAAGUCGAGCGAACAGAUGAGAAGCUUGCUUCUCUGAUGUUAGCGGCGGACGGGUGAGUAACACGUGGGUAACCUACCUAUAAGACUGGGAUAACUCCGGGAAACCGGGGCUAAUACCGGAUAAUAUUUUGAACCGCAUGGUUCGAUAGUGAAAGACGGUUUCGGCUGUCACUUAUAGAUGGACCCGCGCCGUAUUAGCUAGUUGGUAAGGUAACGGCUUACCAAGGCGACGAUACGUAGCCGACCUGAGAAGGUGAGCGGCCACACUGGAACUGAGACACGGUCCAGACUCCUACGAGAGGCAGCAGUAGGGAAUCUUCCGCACUGGGCGAAAGCCUGACAGAGCAACGCCGCGUGAGUGAUGAAGGUCUUCGGAUCGUAAGACUCUGUUGUUAGGGAAGACCAAAUUUGUUAGUAACUGAACAAGUCUUGACGGUACCUAACCAGAAAGCCACGGCUAACUACGUGCCAGCCGCCGCCGUAA
Molecule: ribosomal RNA, 514 nt
Filed under: uncultured bacterium
Lineage: Bacteria
Description: partial 16S ribosomal RNA
Rfam family: Bacterial small subunit ribosomal RNA
Source: RNAcentral